CACCGCGUGGGGGAUGAAGGCUUUCGGGUUGUAAACCUCUUUUCUGGCCCCACGAAUAAGGGCGGGAGGAAAUGCCCGUCCGAUGACGGUACCCCAGGAAUAAGCAUCGGCUAACUUCGUGCCAGCAGCCGCGGUAAGACGAAGGAUGCAAGCGUUAUCCGGAAUUACUGGGCGUAAAGGGCGCCUAGGCGGCCGAGCAAGUCACCCGUGAAAGCCCUCAGCUCAACUGAGGAAUGUCGAGUGAAACUGCUCGGCUUGGGUGCAGGAGAGGAGGGUGGAACUCACAGAGUAGCGGUGGAAUGCGUAGAUACUGUGAGGUACCCCGAUGGCGAAGGCAACCCUCUGGCCUGCUACCGACGCUGAAGCGCGAAAGCGUGGGGAGCAAAGGGGAUUAGAUACCCCCGUAGUCCACGCCGCAAACGAUGUUCACUGGGUGUCGGUCGCUAAUACAGAUCGGUGCCGGAGCUAACGCGUUAAGUGAACCGCCUGGGGAGUACGGCCGCAAGGCUAAAACUCAAGAGAAUUGACGGGGCCCCGCACAAGCGGUGGAGCACGUGGUUUAAUUCGAUGAUAAGCGAAGAACCUCACCUGGGUUUGACAUGCUAGUGGUAGGAACCGGAAACGGGGACGACCCUUGCCUUCGGGCAAGGGAGCUAGUACAGGUGAUGCAUGGCUGUCGUCAGUUCGUGUCGUGGGACGUUGGGUUAAGUCCCGAAACGAGCGCAACCCCUGUUGUCAGUUGCCAGCGGGUAAAGCCGGGGACUCUGACGAGACUGCCGGUGAAUAGCCGGAGGAAGGAGGGGAUGACGUCAAGUCAUCAUGUCCCUUAUGCCCAGGGCGACACACAUGCUACAAUGGGGGGUACAAAGGGCUGCAAUGCCGUAAGGCUGAGCCAAUCCCAAAAAACCUUCCUCAGUUCGGAUUGAGGUCUGUAACUCGACCUCAUGAAGCCGGAAUCGCUAGUAAUCGCAGGUCAGCCACACUGCGGUGAAUGUGUACUCGGGGCUUGUACACACCGCCCGUCACACCAACCGAGUGGGGGGUACUUAAAGUCGCUCUUUAUAGAGCGCCAAGGGUAACCUCCGCAAGAGGGGUG
Molecule: ribosomal RNA, 1096 nt
Filed under: uncultured bacterium
Lineage: Bacteria
Description: bacterial SSU rRNA
Rfam family: Bacterial small subunit ribosomal RNA
Source: RNAcentral